Long non-coding RNA from Homo sapiens (human), 2885 nucleotides. Ensembl annotates it as long intergenic non-protein coding RNA 2350. Lineage: Eukaryota; Metazoa; Chordata; Mammalia; Primates; Hominidae. The record is from Ensembl.
GGACACAGGAGCAGCGGGGAUGCCGGGUGCGCUCCGAGGGUGUGGCCCCCGGGCUGUGCGGGGCUCAGAGCUGCUUGCUGGGCGCGGUGCCCGACAAAGCUCCAUUUCUGGCCUUUGGUCUCUUUCUCGGAAAGCAGGCCUCAGUGGCCUCAGUUUCUUCCCAGAACCUGCAAUGCCCCACCAAGGUGACAAGAAGUGCAAGGAGUCGGUUUUCACUGCCAACCAAAGAGGUGACCCCCGCAAAGCAACCAUGUUGGGACAGUCCAUUUGCUGCGUUUUGAUUAUUUGCUAAGAGCAAAUACCUUUUCUGUUUGGGUUUUGCUUUUAGAAAAAAAAUGUGGCAGAUGGUGGUGGCUUUCCCCGUCAUUGAAAGAAGAAAGGUAGUAACUCUACUGGUGCACUCCUCUGAGUUGUGCUAACAAAGAAGAAUGCUGAAAGAAAAGGGAAAUGAACACCAUUUUCAGGCAGCUUCUCCAAGUUUUUUUGACAGUGUUAUAAUUUUCCUUUAGCGACUGUUGAAGCAAAUAUCUGUAUUUAUGUUCAGAUUAAACCGAGAGAGCAAAGACUGCUAAAGCCAGUAAUUUCUGGGCUGCAAAUGCAGGAUAGCUCCAGUGAAUUUCAGAUUCUUAAAGGUUUUUGCUGUAGCGAAUUCAUGACACAAAGCAUUUGGAGGGAAACCUAUUAGAGAAGAAACACAUCCUAAAUGAGAAUUACUGAGGACGGGAGGCUCUUGUCAUUUAUUGGAUUAGUUAUAGCACUUUACACAAGCCUGUAAUAUUUGUUCUGCUGCUGUGGUGUGACUGGUAAAAUGAAAAGGUAUGUCAAGGGAGUGCUUGACUGACGUUCUUAUUUCUUCCGUCUUCUUAUAUUGCUGGGAGGAUUCUACCACUGCAGGGCUAGAAAUUAAUAUCACACUCAUUUGAUAGGAAGAGCAAAAGCAAGGUUAUGAGUCAGAGACAUUUUGGUCCCAGAACAAUAACUCUAUUGAUUGAGUCAAAUAUGUUUAACUCCAACAGCAAGACCUUCCAUCUGCGUGAAAUAAUCAUGUCCGUUAAUUGUAAACAGGAGCAUCUUUGAAAGCUGAGCUAGAGGCGGAGCAACUGGUAAACCAGAUGUCCCAAAUUUCUAGGUUUGUACAUUGUAAUUGUUCUAGACUUGUGUGUGGAUAUUGGUAAAAUGACAUAGUCAGAUAUCUCACAGAUUUUGUGAGAUAUGUCCAAAGUUCCCAAGUUAAUUUAUUACUAAAGUUAGAAUUUCACUUACUGUGAGAUUGGAAUGCCAGCCAGCUACUGAACCUUAUGUGUGCCUAGGGGCCAUUUUGAGACAAUUUGCUGAAUAUUAAAAGUACAACCAAUAAUGUUUCUCUCCACAUCCACAAUAGCGCUUAGAGGAAGCAUCUGGGAUUGAGCCAUCUCACAUCUGUCUAAUCACAUUCAUUCAAAUGUGAUGGGCCCAACUGGCCUACGUACAUGGCUGCAUAUCACCAUGGGUGGAAAUUAAAUCAGAAUUUGGCUCAGGAGAGAGAUGAAGAGAAAAUGCACGUAGAUAAUUGGCUCAGAUAACAUUCUGUUUCUGGAAGUCACAAAGAGUGGAAAUUGGAAUAUGUAAAUUAAAGAAAAACAGGUAAGAAUUCACAUGAACCCCAACCACACACCCUGUGUAUGUUCUCAUUCUCAUUCUCUCUAUGGUGCCUGUGAGCAGUUGGAGUUUGAAUUUUUCAGUCAGUAAGGUUUGCUGUUUAUUCGAGGGCUGCUCCUAAAAAAUAAUCAGGUCUAGUCAAGAAUAUAGAAAAGUGAAAUUAUGCAUAUUUUCCUGGGGAAUAUAAUAGAUGUUCUCAUAGUCUUACAAUGUAAAAAAAAUGAAGGUAAGACUCUAGCUCCCUUUCUUCUAUCUUUCUGGCCUCAUUUUAGGCUAAUAUUUUCUUUUGCAACCAUAUACCAAAUUAUUACAUAUGGAAGCUGUGAAACUGAAGGUUCUGUAAAACUUUAAAGCCAGAGAACUUAUGACUCCUCCAUAUAGGAAGAGAAAUGGGAGAAUAUUAGGCUGUUUUUAAUACUGGGCAUCUGGUAUUUUUCAGUCCUUAAGAUCAAGUCCGCAAUGGAAGAAGAGCAUUCAUCUGGUACAGGUUGAUGAUUGUGUAAGCCCAAGGAGUGAUGUCAACACUGGGGUUCACCUGAGAACAUGGACAUGGUUGAUGAGGGUUUAGGAGAUGCUCAUACGAAGUCUUCAUAUGUUCCCUGGAUCCCAGCUCUGCCUUCCCACCAGAGAGGAUGUAAUUCAGCCGAGAUGCCCAGAGUCAGCUCUCUGCUCAUAUCUGUUCCGCACUGAAGCCAAUCAUCUGAGAAACCUAAGAAGUGUUUAAUGUAGUUAGGAAAGUGAGGGAUGAAGACCAUAAAUUCCUUUUCAUGUAGCAGAGUAUAUAUGUGAUACUCAUUCUGUGGUAUUUGGGGCAUAAACAAGAGUCGAUGAAGGAAUGUGAAAGUACUCGAAAUCCUGACUUUUAUCUCUAUAAAAAUGGCAUAGGGAUGAAACACACUUGGUUGUUAUGACUGUACUCUUUUCAGAUUUACUACUUGCCUUUCUACUGAUUUUUCUGUGCCACAGGUCUUGACUCCUGUAGGCUAAAUUUCUCAGCCUCUUCUGCUCACUGAUAUAUGGGAAGGUUUGGCCAAAGGUGGGUGACUGGUGGGGAGAAGGAUGAGGGAAUUCAGGGGAUUGCUGAGCCCAUUCUCUAGACAGUGCUGCUGGCACUGGCUCUGUCUUCUCCGUUUCCAUCUCGCAUCAGACGGUUCUUCCCUCUAUGGGCCUAGUCCUACCUAGACACUUUCCAGUUGGAUUCCAGUUCUGGGGAUGCUCCCUCCUGCAGGGAUCUAAGUCCUUCCCAU